RNAcentral lists this ribosomal RNA (376 nucleotides) under uncultured bacterium. Its description in RNAcentral is "bacterial SSU rRNA". It matches the Rfam family "Bacterial small subunit ribosomal RNA", at positions 524 to 898 of the family's 1533-position model. The record is from RNAcentral.
GACGUAGGGUCCAAGCGUUGUCCGGAUUUACUGGGCGUAAAGAGCGUGUAGGCGGUCUGUUAAGUGUGAAGCUAAAUCUCCGGGCUCAACCCGGAAACUAUUUCGCAUACUGGCAGACUUGAGGAAUGCAGAGGUAAGUGGAAUUCCUGGUGUAGCGGUGAAAUGCGUUGAUAUCAGGAGGAACACCCAUGGCGAAGGCAGCUUACUGGGCAUUAUCUGACGCUGAGACGCGAAAGCGUGGGUAGCAAACAGGAUUAGAUACCCUGGUAGUCCACGCCCUAAACGAUGGAUACUAGGCGUAAGAGGUAUCGACCCCUCUUGUGCCGCAGCUAACGCAUUAAGUAUCCCGCCUGGGGAGUACGGCCGCAAGGUUGAA